UUAUUAUUAUUAUUAUUAUUAUUAUUAUUAGUGGUGAGGCAUGGAGAGUGCUCCAAAGAAUUCAAAGUGCCUGGUCUAUUAAUGAAUGACACAGACUUUUAAACAAUAGAUGCUUGUUCCCCAGCUACUGCAAAUGCUUAGAAAGAACUAUAUUGCCUUGUAUACUCAAUAGCUUGGUAACAAAAGACUGUUUUUCUUUUAUUUAUUUUUCCUUCGAAUGGAUUUGAUGGUUCACUUGAACUUUAAAAAAUUGCAUAAAGGUUUACCAGUUACUGCAGAACUCUUCUGUCAGGGUUAAUAUGUGUGUCUAUGUGACAGAGACAUGCAGAGGCUCGUGCAUAGUUGUAAUCCUUGAUACAUCUUCUGUUUAAAGAAGCCAAAGCUAUGAAGAAUUUUGAAUAUUUAAUCUUUAAAAAAUUAAUUUUACAUAGAAUUUUUCAAAAGUUGCUUUUAACAUUCACACUGGUGUUUCAAGCUGUUAAGGGAAUUUUUUCUCUUGCAUUAUGGUGAGCGAAUGCACUCUUAUCUCUUUAAAAGAGAGGAAGGGCUUGGCAUCUCUCCCUUUUCUAAAACCUCAAUUAUCUGAAUGACCUUAAUGCAAGGAAAUGCUAAUCACACAUGGUUGCUCUGGCAUUAGGUUAAGUUGGAAACACAUUUUAAAUUUGGUUACCUGACUUCCAAAGAAUAGGGACUCUUUAUUUUAUUUCCCACUGGAAAUAUUUUAAAGAAAGCUAAAGCUAAAUAAAAUCAUACUGAUCUGCAGCAUUAGCACAGAACAGGAAUGAAGAAGUGACUUGUGACAUUUGUGAGGUAACUUCCAUGCCAGGAUAGAAAACUAGCACCUGGAACUUUUAUCUGAAGCUGAGUGGCAUUGCCAUUACGUUCUGGUAAAACCAAGGAGCCUUUGUCUGAUCUAAAUGUUUACCAUUACAGUGCCAGAUGCCAAAGUCUUCAGCUUAAAGCAGAAAUGCAGGGAAGGCCAUAGACAAGUAAAGCAUCAUUGGUUUCGGAACAAAUGCUUGGUGCCUAUGGAGAAGGGCUUAUGGCUCAAGUGGUAGAUCUCUGGAUAAUUUGAGGUUAUGCCGCAGUUUACUUUUCCCACUAGCAGAAGGAUCCAAUUUGGAUGAAUUUCACAGUAACAACUCUGCUGCAGUCCUUGCCAUCCUGGAUCAGUUUGGGACGGAAUCCAGCUAAGGCUUAUUUCUGCAAAGUAAUUUUGACUG
Podarcis raffonei (Aeolian wall lizard) is the source of this 1223-nucleotide long non-coding RNA. RefSeq lists it as uncharacterized. The transcript is spliced from 2 exons. The record is from RefSeq and is a predicted model, not a curated record. NCBI's taxonomy places the organism in Eukaryota, Metazoa, Chordata, Lepidosauria, Squamata, Lacertidae.